RNAcentral lists this ribosomal RNA (514 nucleotides) under uncultured bacterium. Its description in RNAcentral is "partial 16S ribosomal RNA". It matches the Rfam family "Bacterial small subunit ribosomal RNA", at positions 28 to 523 of the family's 1533-position model. The record is from RNAcentral.
GAUGAACGCUGGCGGCGUGCCUAAUACAUGCAAGUCGAGCGAACUGAUUAGAAGCUUGCUUCUAUGACGUUAGCGGCGGACGGGUGAGUAACACGUGGGUAACCUGCCUGUAAGACUGGGAUAACUUCGGGAAACCGAAGCUAAUACCGGAUAGGAUCUUCUCCUUCAUGGGAGAUGAUUGAAAGAUGGUUUCGGCUAUCACUUACAGAUGGGCCCGCGGUGCAUUAGCUAGUUGGUGAGGUAACGGCUCACCAAGGCAACGAUGCAUAGCCGACCUGAGAGGGUGCUCGGCCACACUGGGACGGAGACACGGCCCAGACUCCUACGGGAGGCAGCAUUAGGGAAUCUUCCGCAAUGGACGAAAGUCUGACGGAGCAACGCCGCGUGAGUGAUGAAGGCUUUCGGGUCGUAAAACUCUGUUGUUAGGGAAGAACAAGUACAAGAGUAACUGCUUGUGCCUUGACGGUACCUAACCAGAAAGCCACGGCUAACUACGUGCCAGCCGCCGCCGUAA